RNAcentral lists this microRNA precursor (189 nucleotides) under Oryza meridionalis. RNAcentral describes it as "MIR812 microRNA precursor family". It matches the Rfam family "MIR812 microRNA precursor family". The record is from Rfam by way of RNAcentral. Lineage: Eukaryota; Viridiplantae; Streptophyta; Magnoliopsida; Poales; Poaceae.
AAUAAGUGUAAUUUUGCACUAUUCACGUACCGUUUAAAAAUUUUAUAUGAUUACUAUUUUUAUUGCUAUUAGAUGAUAAAAUAUGAAUAAUACUUUAUGUGUGACUAAAUAUUUUUAAAUUUUUCACAAAUUUUUUAAAUAAGACGGACUGUCAAACGUUGAGCAUGGAUAUCCACGACUACACUUAUU